UGGGGAAUAUUGCACAAUGGGCGCAAGCCUGAUGCAGCCAUGCCGCGUGUAUGAAGAAGGCCUUCGGGUUGUAAAGUACUUUCAGCGGGGAGGAAGGGAGUAAAGUUAAUACCUUUGCUCAUUGACGUUACCCGCAGAAGAAGCACCGGCUAACUCCGUGCCAGCAGCCGCGGUAAUACGGAGGGUGCAAGCGUUAAUCGGAAUUACUGGGCGUAAAGCGCACGCAGGCGGUUUGUUAAGUCAGAUGUGAAAUCACCGGGCUAAACCUGGGAACUGCAUCUGAGACUGGAAAGCUUGAGUAUCGUAGAGGGGGGUAGAAUUCCAGGUGUAGCGGUGAAAUGCGUAGAGAUCUGGAGGAAUACCGGUGGCGAAGGCGGCCCCCUGGACGAAGACUGACGCUCAGGUGCGAAAGCGUGGGGAGCAAACAGG
Molecule: ribosomal RNA, 429 nt
Filed under: Chloroflexota bacterium
Lineage: Bacteria; Bacillati; Chloroflexota
Description: Chloroflexi bacterium partial 16S ribosomal RNA
Rfam family: Bacterial small subunit ribosomal RNA
Source: RNAcentral